RNAcentral lists this ribosomal RNA (253 nucleotides) under uncultured bacterium. RNAcentral describes it as "partial 16S ribosomal RNA". It matches the Rfam family "Bacterial small subunit ribosomal RNA", at positions 524 to 776 of the family's 1533-position model. The record is from RNAcentral.
UACAGAGGGUGCAAGCGUUGCUCGGAAUUAUUGGGCGUAAAGGGUAGGUAGGUGGUCUCAUUUGUCAGGGGUGAAAGCCUUGGGCUUAACUCAAGAAGUGCCCCUGAAACGGUGAGACUAGAGUGCUGGAGAGGGUCGUGGAAUUCCCGGUGUAGCGGUGAAAUGCGUAGAGAUCCGGAGGAACACCAGCGGCGAAGGCGGCAGCCUGGACUGGUCCUGACACUCAGGAGCGAAAGCGUGGGGAGCGAUCCGG